CGGGGUGCAGCAGGCGCGAAAACUUUACAAUGCGGAAAACCGUGAUAAGGGGACACCGAGUGCCAGCAUCAUAUGCUGGCUGUCCAGGUGUGUAAAAUACACCUGUUAGCAAGGGCCGGGCAAGACCGGUGCCAGCCGCCGCGGUAACACCGGCGGCCCGAGUGGUGAUCGUGAUUAUUGGGUCUAAAGGGUCCGUAGCCGGUUUGGUCAGUCCUCCGGGAAAUCUGACGGCUCAACCGUUAGGCUUUCGGGGGAUACUGCCAGGCUUGGAACCGGGAGAGGUAAGAGGUACUACAGGGGUAGGAGUGAAAUCUUGUAAUCCCUGUGAGGCCACCUGUGGCGAAGGCGUCUUACCAGAACGGGUUCGACGGUGAGGGACGAAAGCUGGGGGCACGAACCGGAUUAGAUACCCGGGUAGUCCCAGCCGUAAACGAUGCUCGCUAGGUGUCAGGCAUGGCGCGACCGUGUCUGGUGCCGCAGGGAAGCCGUGAAGCGAGCCACCUGGGAAGUACGGCCGCAAGGCUGAAACUUAAAGGAAUUGGCGGGGGAGCAC
RNAcentral lists this ribosomal RNA (553 nucleotides) under uncultured archaeon. RNAcentral describes it as "bacterial SSU rRNA". It matches the Rfam family "Archaeal small subunit ribosomal RNA", at positions 326 to 879 of the family's 1478-position model. The record is from RNAcentral.